RNAcentral lists this long non-coding RNA (1178 nucleotides) under Cyanoderma ruficeps (rufous-capped babbler). Its description in RNAcentral is "lncRNA (ENSCRFG00000003790.1)". The record is from RNAcentral. Lineage: Eukaryota; Metazoa; Chordata; Aves; Passeriformes; Timaliidae.
GCCCCUUUCCCCUCACAGUUCCCGCCCUUUCCUUGGCCCCGCCCUUUCCUUGGCCCCGCCCUCCCCGUUCGGGGUCGGGAACGGGCGAGGAGGAGGAGGGAGGGAGGAAGAGGCGCAGCGGCAGCAGGAGCGGGAGGAGAAGACGAGCGGAGGGAGCGGCGGCUCCAGCGUUCCCUGAAGUGGCGGCCCCGCCGGGAUCAUCGCCCCCGAUCCCGCAGCCAAGGAGCCGAGCUGACAAAUCCCCGCGGCAGCAGCUGGUGGGAGAGGCCGUUUUGAGCGGCUCCAUGAUGCAGGAAUGCAACGGGGAGGAAAAGGGCCGGAGAUCCCUGAGGAGGAGGGGCUGCAAAGGCAGAUGGCGAGGAUGUGAGGAGGAAAGAGCCAGCCUGGGCCGGGAAGGCGGCUGGAGAUGGAGCCGGAGCUCAGAGCUGGUGGUGCAUGAGCAGCUUCCUGAUGGGGAGAAGCCCCACAAGUGCUUGGAGUGUGGGAAGAGCUUCAUCUAGCACAGCAGCCUGCCCCGUCAGCAGCAGACCCACACCAGGGAACAGCCCUACGAGUGUGGGGAAUGUGGGAAGAGCUUCUGAGUCAGCUCCAACCUGAUCCAGAACAUCCACACUGGGGAGAGGCCAUGCAAGUGUGGGAAAUGUGGGAAGGGCUUUAGGUACCUUGCCUACCUGAUCAUCCACCUAAAAAUCCACGGAGGGUAACGGUUCUACAAGUGUGAAGAAUGUAGCAAAAGCUUCAGCAAGAGCUCCAGCCUGGUUAUCCACCGAAAAAUCCACACUGUGGAGAGGCCCUACAAGCAUUCCCAGUGUGGGAAGGGGUUUUGGGUCAGCACCUGUCUCCUCGUGCACCAGCCGAUUGACUCAGAGGAGAGGCCCUUCCACUGCCCCAGCUGUGGGAAGGGCUCCAAGCACAACUCCACCCUUAUCAGGCACCAGCACAUCCACAGCAGGGAGAGGCCCUGCGAGUGUCCCCAGUUUUGGAAGAGCCUCCAAUUCCAUCCCCCACUGGAGGGGCUAUGUUGGACAGAGCCCUGGUGACUCACAUUUCCUAUGAUCCAUGUUGGGAAGGCACCUGGCUGGUUAUAGUUUUGAUUUGGCCUUAAUUUUUUUCUCUUCUCCCUCUCUUUGCACUUCAGAGGUCAAGAGGGAUUGAUCUGUCCCCUCAAAGUAACUGCA